Molecule: ribosomal RNA, 503 nt
Filed under: uncultured bacterium
Lineage: Bacteria
Description: partial 16S ribosomal RNA
Rfam family: Bacterial small subunit ribosomal RNA
Source: RNAcentral
AUUGAACGCUGGCGGCAGGCCUAACACAUGCAAGUCGGACGGUAGCACAGAGAGCUUGCUCUCGGGUGACGAGUGGCGGACGGGUGAGUAAUGUCUGGGGAUCUGCCCGAUAGAGGGGGAUAACCACGGAAACGGUGGCUAAUACCGCAUAACGUCGCAAGACCAAAGAGGGGGACCUUCGGGCCUCUCACUAUCGGAUGAACCCAGAUGGGAUUAGCUAGUAGGCGGGGUAACGGCCCACCUAGGCGACGAUCCCUAGCUGGUCUGAGAGGAUGACCAGCCACACUGGAACUGAGACACGGUCCAGACUCCUACGGGAGGCAGCAGUGGGGAAUAUUGCACAAUGGGCGCAAGCCUGACGCAGCCAUGCCGCGUGUAUGAAGAAGGCCUUCGGGUUGUAAAGUACUUUCAGCGGGGAGGAAGGCGAUGUGGUUAAUAACCGUAUCGAUUGACGUUACCCGCAGAAGAAGCACCGGCUAACUCCGUGCCAGCCGCCGCGGUAA